UUUUUUUUUUUUGAGCUUUAUCAAGUAUCGGCAGACGAAAAGAUGAGUUAUGUCAAUGUGCCCAUCAUGGAGAAAAUGGACACCUGGUUUGAUGUUUAUAUGAUGGAUGGUGGAGCAAUUGCUUGGGAGACUUUUUGUUUGGACACAUGUCAUAGGUAUGGCAAUAUAAGGCCCAUGGAUAUUGUCAUUGAUUUUAAUAGGCUGCAACAGUGGCCUGAUGUGGAAAGUUAUUUUAAAAAAUCUGAAGAACUUUGUUUUUACCUGUUGCUGAUUAAUCCCUCAUUAAAGGAAGCAUCUUUUGUUUAUUCUUUUGUGGGUGGAGUAAAAUCUGACCUAUAUUCCAUGGUUCGAGCUUCUAAUCCACAUUGACAGACGCUAUGGAGGUGGCUAAACUCCAUGAGAAUACACUAUCAGCUAUCUCUAAAGAGGAAACUACCCUCUAUAGCCCCUCAAAAUUUUAAUAGCCCAUAUUUUUGCUCAUUGACACAAAAUGGCCCUCCGGCCCAAAAAUAUUACAUCUAAUAGUCCGAAAUGUCUAUUUUGUAUAUUUGUUUUAUAGUGACAAUAUAUUUUGUAUAUUUUUUUUGUAGAGUCUAUUUAGUAUAUAUUUUAUAUAAUGACAGUCUAUUUUGUAUAUAUUUUGUAUAUUGACAGCCUAUUGUAUAUAAAUUAUAUGUGACAGUCUGUUUUUGUAUAUUUUGCACAGUAACAGCCUAUUAUAUAUAAAUUGUAUAGUGACAGUCUAUUUUGUAUAAUUCCCUUACACUUCCAUGUUUGCCCAUUAGGAACCCAUUAAAUCUCGUGAACACACACUCCAGACAAACACGACAAAAUUCUUAACCCAUGCGGCCCACAAUCCAAAAAGGCAUUUAAGUUAUAUAAUUUAAUAUAAUUACAUAUAAAUUUUAACCACUUCUGUUAGCGUAAAGAUUGGUGGUUAAAAUUUGCCAAAGAGCAAGAAUUAUCCAACUACUACGAGUUAGUAUAUUGAAGCAUACCCUCAUUUCAGAUGCAUCACAUUCAAAUAAAUUCAUUAAGGAAUUUCGUCGAGGAACUCCGAGGCAUGACAAUGAGGACUGCUCCAAAGUGUACAAACUAACACUCACCAAAACAGUAGGUAGCUAUCAACCUAAGAUUAAUAAAAGAAAAACAUUUCUCGAAGAAAAUUAAAUCUUCCACAAAACUAGAAAACAGAUAUCCGCAGACGAAUUUCAUCGAAAAACUCAUAUGUAAUGACAAACUUCAAAAACGCUGCUUUAGAGUUUUAAAAAAACUCACCAAAACCCCAUUAAAUCUUGUGAACACAAACUCCAGGAAUUCUCAACCCAUGCGGCCCACAAUCCAAAAAGGAAUUUAAAUUCUAUAAAUUAAUAUAAUUACAUAUAAAUUUUAACCAAUGUUGCUAGUGUAAAGAUUGGUCGUUCAAUAAGGAGGUGUCGCUUGCGACGGCGGCGUUCGACAGUGGCUUCUUCGGCUAAGGAAAAUGUAUAUGAUUGCUGAGGGAAAAGGAAGUUAGGGUUUUGACGGGGUGGCCGUUGUUGUGUUCGGUGAGGAUGAACAGAUGGUGUGAUUUGAAUUCUUACCGCGACGGAGGAACGGCAGAGAGAACGGAGGAGGAUGCCAUAGAGAGGGUGAAGAGUGGCAGUGGUCUUGACGCAGUGUUCAAAAUAGCGUGAAGCGAGAAAAAGCGACAACCCCUUUUUCACGAAAAGCGAGAAGCGAAGCGCCCGCUUUUUUGAAGUGAACCGGAAUUUUGUAAAAACAACAACAACAACAACUACCCAGUAUACUCCCACCAGGUGGGGUCUGGGGAGGGUAANNNNNNNNNNNNNNNNNNNNNNNNNNNNNNNNNNNNNNNNNNNNNNNNNNNNNNNNNNNNNNNNNNNNNNNNNNNNNNNNNNNNNNNNNNNNNNNNNNNNNNNNNNNNNNNNNNNNNNNNNNNNNNNNNNNNNNNNNCCAAUCGACCCUCGGCGAGUAGAGUAAAAAUGGGAAAGCUGCAUUAAGAAACAGAGAUAAAAUUAGAAACACAAGCAAGACAAAAUCAAAUAAUAAAGCAAUUUUUAACAAAUAUGGCAUAGAUAAGACAUGUAAUUUUUAACAAAUGUUCAAUACUUGAAUUAAAACACUAAAGAGUAGCAUCAAUUAAAGCACAAAAUGAGCAUCCUAUUCUUCUUCAAGAUUGUUAAAUUCUUGUAUUCCACUAUCAUUAUUGUAUUGCUCGCCAUCUUCUUCAACUUCAUCUUCUUCAUAAUUAGGGAAAAAUUUUCUGGGCAGAAAUUUUCUGGAAAAAAUUCGCCAGCAUUUCAAUGCUUUUUGGAUGUUUAGAAAUAAAAAGAAAAAGAAAAAGAAGAAGAUUGAAAAUAAAAACAUACCAGUUGAAUCUUGAAAUCGUUGGUUUUUUGAGGAAGAAAGGGCUGAUUUAAAGCCCUAGGUUGCUGCUGAAGAAUGAUUACAACAGAGACUCACUCGAUUUUGGGUCUUUUAAUUGAAAAAGACACGUUUGGGCAAUUUAUUCCAAGAAGCGAUCGCUUCUUCCGCUUCUCCCACUUCUCGCUUUUUUGGUAGAAGCGAACGCUUUUAUGUACCUGAGUCGCUUUUGGUAAAGGUAGCGACAGACCCUUCGCUUCGCUUCGCUUCUCGCUUUAAGCGAGGAAGCGGUCGCUUUUCUGAAUACUGGCAGUUGAGCUAGCCUUUAAUUAGCUUUGGGCUAUAAAAUGCAUACUGCACUUUGUGGCUAGCGGCUGAUAUUAGUUUAUAGCGGAUUGCCAUAAAUGAAGUUUCAUCAUUUAUAAAAACAUCCAAGGCCCAAGAAUUUCCACUACCCGACCCAGGACUACUUUUGACCCCAAGCCGAAAAGCCACCCAAAACAUUAAAGCUAUUACAUCAUUGUGGCCCAAAGUCCAUUAAACUUGAAUAAAACACCCUCUUUGGAAACCCUAAGAGAUAAAAAGCUAUGUUAUAGUUGUCAUGAAAAAGGGGCUCCGAUGCAUAAAUGCAAAAGCCCUUAAAACAUUGGAAGGCAGUGAGGAUGAGACUAUAUAGAGGAAGGGAAAAGUUCAGGAGUUAAAGAUGAGUCCCGGGGAAAUAACGAGGAAGAGGAGGAAGCGGUGAUUAGUGUGUUGGAGGGCCAUGUUGAAGCCCAAAUACCGUUAAAAUUGCGGGGCUUUUGAAAAGUGAACCAAUUGUGGCGCUUGUGGACUGUGGAGCCACCCACAGUUUUAUUGAUCCACAAUUAGCAACUUUGUUACAAUUGGAUGUGCAAAAAUUGGACAGACCUAUGAGAGUGCGGGUUGCCAAUGGAGAAGUCUAGGUUACCACAGCCAUAUGCUGUAAGGAUGGAUGGCAGAUGCAAGGAGAGGGUUAAAAAUUAGAAUUCCGUGUGAUGAAGGUUGGUUGAUGUAAUUUGUUGCUCGGCAUGGACUGGAUUGACUUGAUGACACCAAUAAUCUUGCAUACCAGGCCCUGUAGUGUCACUUUAAUGAGAGGCACAAUAAUGGUAACAUUGGUAAGUUAUCAUGAUUCAAUUGGAUUGGGCUAAAACGAUACCAAGCUGAUUGCAGGUUUAUUAUGCCAAGGAGAAUGCAAUUGGGUGGCCCAAACUUGUCAACUGGAAUCGGGAGGGGGGCAACAAUGAACAAAUUCCAGCCCAAGUGGAAAAAUCUUGAAGGAGUUUAAUUUGGUGUUUAGUGAACCAACCACUUUACCCUCGAAAAAACAUGUGAUCAUGCAAUUGAGCUAUUACCAGGUUCUAAACUUGUUAAUCAAAGACCCUAUAGGUAUUCACACGAGCAGAAAGACAACAACAACAACAAAAACACAGUAAAAUCUCACACGUGGGGUCUGGGGAAGGUAGUGUGAACGCAGACCUAACCCCUACCAUAUGAAGGUAGAGAGGUUGUUUCCAAAAAACAAAGAAGUCCGACCUACCGGAUUCGAACUAGUGACCUAAGGAUUUACAGUCCAUCGCUCUACCAACUAAGCUAAGGUCAGUCACACAAGCAGAAAGAUGUAAUAGAAAAGAGUAUCAGUGAAAUGCUGGAUCAGGGACAGUAACUUCAUCUCCCUUUGCAUCUCCAGCUUAUCCUCGUUAAAAAGAAGGAUUCAUCUUGAAGGAUGUGCAUAACUAUAGGAGGCUCAAUGAUACCACAAUUAAAAACAAGUACCUGAUUCCCGUAAUGGAAGACUUGCUUGAUAAGAUAAAUUGAGCUCAAAUUUAUUUAUUUAUUAUAAGGAGUUUCAGCUCAAAUUUAUUCUAAAUUGGACCUAAGAUUUGGGUAUCAUCAAAUAAGGAUAAAGGCGGUUCACGAACACAAAACAACUUUUAAGACGCAUAAUGGGCGGUGGGAGCACACAGUUAUGCCGUUUGGACUUACAAAGGCACCAGCUACCUUUCAGGCCCUAAUGCACUACAUUUUUGGCCCAUAUUUAAGAAAGUUUGUUUUGGUCCUCUUUUGACGAUAUCUUGGCCUACAUUGCUUCAUUAGGAGAACAUAUAGAACACAGCACGGUGUUUAAGUUGUUAAUUGAGCAUCAGCUCUUUGCUAAGCGUUCAAAGUGGUCUAAACCUGUUUGCAUUAAGGGUCUACGAGGGUUCAUUGGCUUAACAGGUUAUUACCGACGCUUCAUUUAAAUUACACCGUGAUUAGCAUGCCUAUUCUUAUUGAAAAGGGAGGUUUCGAGUGGAACGAUGCUGCUACUAAGGCUGGGCCAUGACUCAAGCAUCGGUAUUAGCUCUGCCAAAUUUUACGGAGCUAUUUGUUGUUGUAGUCGACGCCAGUGGACUAGGCGUCGGGGCAGUGCUUUCUCAGCACAAUAGGCUCAUCGCUUUUUUGAGAAGCCUUGAGCCCAAAGCACUUGGGCAUGUCAACAUAUAAGAAAAAUGGGAUCUGAAAUCACUAGUACAGUUCAGUUGCUGCAAUUAAUCCUUUUAUUCCUUUUUUGUUAACCAAGAAGUUUCCAGCUUUGGAACUCCAUGGACAAUGGGCCCCCUCGUCUCCCUUUCUCCACUUAAAUACUAGCGUUCUAUCGUGUGCCGGCUUUGCUGAACCAUAAGCCUUGGGUCCUCAAUUAAUUAAAAGUUUCAUUAAGGGUAAAACUGAAAGUGUAAAGUUAAUUGUUGUCAUUCUAUUCUAAACAUACUAUAAGAAGGGAAAUGUGUCACAUAAAAUUUUAUCAGCAAAGAAAAGGUGAACAAAAACCUGGCCAGCAGCUACUCUUAAGAAGGCUCGUCGGACCCUAGAAUCAGUGGUCUCCGAAACCCUCAUUUGGACCCUCAUCAACUCACCCUCAGUCGUAGAACCCUUUUUAUUCCCACUCACUACUGAGUCCGAAUUCUUCUUCCUCGACUUCAGGCCAAGCGCCUUCUUCACCUUACUCGCCGCCGUCGAUGUCACCGACCUCUGAAAUGAAGGCGAUGACAUCAUCGACGACGAUGAUGAUCUCUCAGAACUGGAAACAAACUUCAACGGUCUGCUGGAGGUGGAGCUACGGCAAUCUCCAACCAGGAUCUCGUAGGCGAUUUCCCGAAGCUCUAAUUCCGUCAAGUCCACAUCAAAUUUGCCAAACGGGUAAGGAAAUUCAUCGUCGAAGUAGGAUGAGGGUAAAAAGGGAAUUUUUGGUUUUUCGUGUAAGUUGUUCGUCGUGCUUUCCUCGUGGUACUUGGUUCUUGAUAGUCUCUGUGCCGUUGCAUCUCUGUGAACAUACGGCACCAUAUCCAUGAAGAACCAAUACAAGAGAUAUCAAAGGUGAAAUUUCUGAGACUCCUCCCUGCCGGAGGUGGAGCUACGGCAAGCUCCGAUCAGGAUCUCGUACGCGGUUUCCCGGAUCUCCGAUUCCGUCAAGUCCACAUCCAAUUCGCCAAAUGGGUAGGGAAAUUCAUUGUCGGAGUAGGAGGAGGGUAAAAAGGGAAUUUUUGGUUUUUCGUGUAAGUUGUUUGCCGUGCUUUCCUCGUGGUACUUAGUUCUUGAUAGUCUCUGUGCCGUUGCAUCUCUGUGAGCAUACGACACCAUAUCCAUGAAGAAUCAAUACAAGAUAUAUCAAAGGUGAAAUUUCUGAGACUCCUCGAAUUGAUCGUUUUUUUUAGCAAAAUGAGGUAAGUCUGAAUAAAACUAUAUAAAAAGAUAGGAUUUUUAAAUUUCUUUUUCUUCUUUUUGUGUUGCUUUUUUUGGAUGAAUUGUAUUCUUGCUUGACUUGAAAGGAAUAGAUAUAUAGGUUUACUUGCUUAGCUUUCUAAAUCAAAAGGCAUGCAUGAAAUUGAGGGGACAAAGGCAGAGAGAGAUAGAGAGAUAUAGAGAGAGUAAAGAAAAUGUUGGGUUUUGAUGAGGAAGGAAGCUUGAGCUUUUCUGGAAGGAGAAUUGUCCACUGCCUACUACUUGGUAAAUGCGCAGAUGCAAGCGCGUUUGGUCAAAGGUUUGUUUAGCCUUUUGAAUAGGCAUUUGGCGAAGGUUCCACACAUGUAUAGAUUGGGGUGUCAGCAGUUAAAAAUGACACGAAAAUAGGACAAUAUGUUACCUUCUUGUACCGAUGAGUGUUUUAAAAGGCAUACGCAUAAUACUUCACGCGGUCGGCGUACCACACGAUCCUAUAGUAUAUAUAAGUGGACGAUACUACUACACAAUCCCAUUUUUAUAUUUCAUAAAUGGUCGGUGUGCCACACGAUCCCAACUCAUAUCUCAUAAGUGGACGGCAUACCAUACGAUCCCAAAUUAUAAUUCAUAGGUGGACGGCGUGCCACACGAUCCCAAUUCGUAUCUCAUAAGUGGACGGCAUUCCACGCAAUCCAUAUUAUAAUUUAUAAGUAGACGGCGUGCCACACGAUCCCAUAUUAUAAUUCAUAAGUGGACAGCGUGCCACACGAUCCCAUAUUAUAAUGAAUAGCACAAAUAAUCUCUCCAAAAGAGGUCUCGUUAGGGAAUUUCAACAACAUAACGAUUAAACCCGGCAAGGGUACAAUUAACAGCUCAAAUAUCCCGGCAAGGGAGAAUACAAUAAUAACAGUCUGCUCAUCUCGGCAAGGGAAUCAUUUCAGCACAUUCUCUUUUAACUCAUUUCCUUCUCAUCUAACACUUUAUAUGGAAUUUAUCAAUUAAACAAGGAAGUUGUGUCACAUCUUUCGAAUUAAAAGCAAUUACGACUCACGGUCAUGCUAGACACCUGUGUCUAGAUAAUCACCAUGCCUAUACACCGUACUCGAUCAUAUUAACAAUUAGCAAUCAAAGCACUCUAAUCCUUUUUCCUCAAGCCAGAAUUAUAUCAAACACUAACCUCGGUCCGAAAAUAGCAGUCAAAUCUCUAACACCACAUUUCCUCUAGAAUUCAACUCCGAAAUAAUGAUAUCUAUGCACAAUUUAGUUCAAUAUUAUCAAUAAUGGCUCACAGAAACAAUUUCAUAGCCUAGAAAUGAAUUUCCUAUCAUUUUUCUAAAAAUACUAAAAUUCGACCCCAAGCCCACAUGGUCCAAACUCGAGGCUCGGACCAAAAUCCAGUCACCCAUAAACCCAGCAGUUCAAAUAUGUAAUUUGUUUUAGGAUUCGACCCCAAAUUGAGGUUGAAUAGCCCAAAUUCCCAAAAGCCCUAAUUCUACCCAGAAGCCCUUAUUUCCACUUUGAUUUGAUGUUUUUAGGCCUAAUAAUUCAAUAAUUAGUGAAGAAAACAAAGGAAUUGGGUGGGGAAUUACUUAUCCAACGAGUCUUGGAAGAGGGGAGCUUCAACUGAGUCCUAAAUCCUAAUGGAGAAGAGAGCUCGUAAGAAGAAGUGAGAAAAUCCCAAAGUGAACAGUUCUAUUUUAAAAAAAAUCACUGAAGGGAAAUUGUGCUAUGCGUCCGCGACACUACGUCGCGUUCGUGAAGAAGGCAGCCGGGUGCACAUCUCGUUGCGAUGGGUUAAUGCGAACGCGUUGAAGGGCCGGGGGUCCAGCUUUGGCUUAUGCGUUCACGAAGGUGAGAAUGCGUACGCGUAUAAGAGGUAGGCAAAGAAGUGCGAACGCGGGGAGCUUCCGCGAAAGCGAAGAAGGCUGGAGGCUGGGCUAUGCGAACGCAAGCCUAGGGCCGCGUUCGUGAAGAACAACUGAUGGUCUGCAACAACAUGAAAUUCUGAUGUAUUUUUCUAAGUGAAAACCACCCCGAACCACCUUCGAAUCACUCCUGAACCCUCGGGGCUCCCGACCAAACACACACUAACUCACCACCAUCCUACGAACUUGCUCGAGCGAUCAAAUCACUAAAAUAAUAUCAAAUUCAAUGAAUCAAACCCCAAACCCAUCAUUUUUAUUUAAAAGUUCAUAAACCUCUAACUUUACAUAUUUAGUUUUGAAACACGCCAAACGACGUCCGAUUUCGAUCAAAUUUCACAAAAAGCACUUAAUGCAUAUUUAAGACAUGUAUCGGGCAUCAGAACCAAAAUACGAGCCCGAUGCCUAUAUUUUCUAACUCGUCUUUAUUUUAAAAUUUCAUAUCAUUUUUAGAAAAAUAAUUUCUUUCGAAAAUUCUAUUCUCGAGCUCGGGCCUCGAAUUUUAAUUUCGGGAAUAUACCCAAGUUCCAUAUUUUUCUAUGGACCUCCCAGGACGUUCACAUCACGGGUUCGGAUCCGUUUACCCAAAAAGUUGGCCAAAGUCAACUUUAUCAAUAUUAAUAUCAAAAUUCUUUAAAUUUUCCACAGAAUUCACAUAUUUUAACAUAGAAAUUUUCCGGCUUCGUGCCCGAACUGCGCACACAAAUCGAGGCAACUAAAAGCAAGAUUUUCAAUGCCUCAAAAGCACAAAAAAUGGCGAAUUAUGGUGAUGACCCUUUGGGUCGUCACAAUUCGCUUCUCUGAAGAUGUGAGUGACCUGAGGCUCGCCCGCUCUAGUUAGCAUCCAUCUGCAAUUUGUAAUCUAAUUUUGAUACAGACUAUUUUCGUUAGUAAUCAUGUUAAUUAAGAGGUUGCAAUCUGUUUCAACCACUAGACGUCUAAUGUUUUGUUGUAUUCCUAUAUUUAGACCUUGUAUAAGAGCUUGGCCUUCCGUGUAAAUAUUUGUAGCGUGAUGGAUAGAUAUGGUAAAGCCUAUAAUCCAAUUAUUGUCCCAGUCUCCGAUAACUCCUCCAAUGCCACCCCUCCCAGAGUUGCUAAGCUAGAUCCAUCUAUGUUUAAUUUAUAAAUUCCCCGAUCAAGUGGCUUCCAUUUUAUGUAUAUUGUCAUAUUGGUUUGGACUUUGGAAAGACUCUGUUAACAACUUAAAUUCCGUUGCACUCGUAGUGAUGUUUUUAAAGGAAUGUGGAGAUUUUUUGUUGUUAAAUAUGAAGUUGUUUCUGUGAGUCUAGAUAUGCCACAUGGUAAAGGGUAGUAUAUCUCCCUUAGAUAAGAAUCUGUUGAAGGGUGAUGUAUUGUGGAAAAGGGGUUUUAACCAGUUAUGUAUUGUGAGCUCAUUGUGAGGUUCAUUCGGGUAUUUGUAAAAGGUUCCCAAUGGAUCCCAAAUAGGUUUUGAGUGCCUACAAUUAAAGAACAUAUGCUCCAUGUCUUCUUCUUCGCUUUGGCAGAUGUUGCAAAUGCUAAAGGUAAUAAUUUUCCUGUUGUGUAACAUUUUAGAGUUGGGUAACCUAUUGUGGACAACUUUCCAGAAGAAGGAUUUUAUUUUGUUUAAGGUAUCGAGCUUCCAUAGCCAUAAAAAGUCAGUCCAAUUACCUACUUCUUGUGACUGGGCUUUGAUGUUGUUAUAGGCAGUCUUUGUCGAGAAUGAGCCAUAAGGACCUUCUGCUUAAGCAAAUUUAUCAACUGUUGGCUCACUUUGUUUAAUAUAAGUGCUAAAAAAUUUACGGAUGGUUUCAGGAAGUUCAAAGGAGAGAGUAUUAAUAUUGAAGGAUCCCUCCGCUAGGAUAGAACUUAGGGUUAGAUUGGAUUCGUUGUGGAGCAGAGGUCCUUAAAUGAGGGAAUGUAAGAGCCCUGAGUCUAUGAUCCAGGUGUCAUGCCAGAGGUUAAUUAUUCCCCAUUCCCUACUUCCCAGUGUAUGCCUUUUCCGCAGACUUCUCCUCCAAUGCAGAUAUUUUUCCAGAUAUGAGUUCCUCAUUUUUUCUCCAUAUUCUUCCAUCUGGAGGGAUUCAUAUUGAUGUUGUAUCUGUUUUGAAGGACUUGAACCCAAAGAGAUUGUUUUUCUCUUGUAAAUUUCCAUGCCAGGGUUGCAUUGAAUGAUUGGUUUUUCCAUUUGCUUUAUAUAACCCGAAACCUCAUUCUUUUUUGUCCCUAGUUACUGUGUUCCAAUUAAUAAGGUAACGCUUUCUUUUUCGGAUGUGCUCCCCUGUAGGAGGUUUCUUUGAAUUGUGUCAAUACUUUUAGUCUUAGAUUUUGGGAGCUAUAUAUUUGCAUGAUAUGGUUAGGGAUUGCUGCAAGAGUGGAUUUAAUUAAGGUGGUCCUACCUAUUGUGGUUAGGAAAUUUACUUUCUAUCCCUGCAGUUUGCUAUUAAGGCUAUCAAUGAUAGGUUGGAAUCUUUUUUGGUUGGGUUUGAGCUCAAGAUUAGGAAUCCUAUGUAUUUCCAUAUUUCAUUCGAGGUUUUCAUUGAUAGACAUUGAUUGAUGUGUUCCUUGGUUCUGGAGGAGGUAUUCUUGGAGAACAUAAUUCUAGACUUGUUGAAAUUAAUGGAUUGACCCGAAUAAAUUACAACUUUCCAGGUUGGCUUCUGCCAUUAAGAUUGAGUCGUCUGCAGAGAACAAAUGAGACAACUGAGGUCCUUUGUUGGAUAGUUUGUUGGGGGUCCAUCUGCACCAAUCAAUUUCAUGGUGUAUAAGUCUAGAUAGCAUUUCCAUGCAGAUUAUAAAAAAGGUAUGGGGAUAGGGGAUCCCCUUGUCUAAUCCCCCUUGUUGGUAUAAAGAAUUUCGUGCUAGACCCGUUUAUAGGAAUAGGAGUUUAAGUAGUCGAGAUAUAGGACAUUAUAAUAUUAAUCAUAUCUUUGAGGAAAUUUAGAGAUAUCAGAGAGAAUCUUACGAAGGACCAUUCUAUUUUGGUGAAGGCUUUCUCCAGGUCUAUAUUAAUUAGUAUUUCCCUUUCUUCAUUGUGAAAUGCUCUUCUUCCUUUUAAGAAGCUUGUUUGGGUCGGGUGUUUUACUUUAUGGAGAAGAGGUUUAAUUCUAUUAACCAAAAUUUUUGUAAUAAUUUUGUAAGUCGCGUUGAAAAGGCUUAUGGGUCUAAGUUAUUUUAUUGUUUUUGGUUUCUUACAUUUUGGGAUUAAACAAAUAUAAGUUUUGUUCAUUUCUUCUGACAUUGAUUUCUUUCUAAAAUUCUCUUUGCAGAAGCUGAUUAAGUCAUUUUUUCUUUCAUUAUAGAACUUUUGGCAGAAGAAAGGGUGUAUGUCGUCCGGUCCUGGUGCUUUAUAGGGCUUAAAGGAGAAGAGUGCCUUCUUAAUUUCCUGUACGUGAGGUUCUAUGGUCAGUGCAGGAUGGUCCCUAAUACUGAGGGUAGUACAGUAAGACAUAGGUUGUUUGUUUAGUUAUGGAAGAGAUAUGACUAAUAUUAAAGAGAUUUUGAAAAAAUUCAGUAAUUAACGGGAUAAUCUCCUUCUGAUCGUAGAACCAGUUACCCACUCAUCUCUAAUUCUAAGGAUUCUAUUUAUUUUUAUGCGCUGCAUUGUGGUAAUGUGGCAAAACUUAGUACUUGCAUCCCCUUCAUUUAGCCAUUGUAAUCUUGACUUAAGCUUUCAGAAUUCCUCUUCUAGUCUUAAUAGACCUUCAAGGGUUUCUGUUAAAGAGGAUUCCAUGUCUCUUAGAAAUUGACUAGUAAAAUAUUUGAGAAUUUCUGAAUCCCAUCGAGCCUAGCCAGCGUAACAUUUUUUUAUGGAAGAUAUUUUCAAAAGUGGUUAUGUUCCAGUUUUUUACUUCUUUUCUAAAGUUUUUAAUAGUCGUUAGAAUAGAGUCAUUGGCAUUCCAAGUUGCUUCUACAAGAGGUUUAAAGGUGGAAUAAGAUAGCCACAUUGAUUCUAUCCUAAAUACUUUAUUAUCUCGGGGUGAACUUUUUCUUAAAUCGAGUUUUAUAGGGCAUUGGUCCGAAUACAGUCUGGUUAAAUGUGUUACUUGGGCUUCAGGGUAUAUAUUGAUCCAGUUGGUGUUAGCCAUAAACCUGUCUAAUAUUUCCAUUAUCUUUGAAGUCUUUCUUUCAUUUGUACAGGUGUAUUUUGGACCCUUUAAUCCUAGGUCUAAGAGUUCGCAAUAGUUAAUACACAUUAUGAAUUUGGAGAUCCUAUUUUUAUUUACAGGUAGUCCUCCAAUUUUUUUAUUUGUCAGUGUCAGUUCAUUGAAGUCCCCCGUGAUUAACCAGGGGCCUUUAAAGGAGUUUGCUACUAUUUUAAGGUUAUUCUAUAGGAUAUUAUUUUCUUCUAAUAAACAACUAGCAUAAAUAACUAAUAAAAGCCAUUGGUGUGGAGAAUUAUUUACCUUUACGAUGGCGUGAAUUUCCUAGUCGGUGCUUGCUACUUGGUCUACUGUCACCUCAGCUUCAUUCCACAUGAUAACCAUUCCACCUGAGUUGCCCUGAGCUGCCACUUGAGUUAUUUUUGUGAACCCAAAAUCUACCAUUAAAGCUUGGUGUUCCGCUAAUUCUAUUUCCAGUAGGGCCACCAAGAAAGAUAUGUUUUAGUCUAACAUUGACCUAAAUAUCCUCCUAAAAUCCUCAUUACCCGCUCCCAUGCAGUUUCAGAUUAUAACACGCAUUGAUCUAUUUAGGGUUUGGGACGUCUCUACAUGUGGCUACCGUGGGGACUCUUGGUAUAGGCUCCCUCAUGCCAUGUUGUCUUGGUUCAUCCAAUGGUGCUCGUAUAGGGUUGGGAUUAUUGUGUCCCAUACUUGUAGAUUUCCCUGGGGCUUUGAAGAAUUCUUAUAUUGAUAGAGAAUUUUCUCAAGUAGUGCGGGCAAUGUAAGAUGUAUCUUUUUUCUCUUCUUUCCUUGAACACCCGCGCCUUUGGUUCCGUUAUCAUGUCUUACUCCACUCGCCUUGCUAAUCUAAUCUAAUGGAAAUUCACAUUAUUCGAACAUUUUCCUUACUGUAGACCACUUUUGUGCAAACUUGGAUAUUCAUUGAGCAUUGUUACAGGGAACAUAACUGUAGACCACUUAUGUAUUUUUUAUAACUUUUUAGAUGUCUUGGCUAUUUAUUUCAAUUGUAUAAAUCUUUAUUUUUCAUGUCAAAUUCAAAAAAAGAUUAAUUAAAACUUUAUUAUUUUUGGACAAGUAAAAAUACUUAGCCUAAAUAAUGUAGUUAUAUCCAAGUGUUACUAUAAAUUUUUUUCAAAAAAAUUAUGUGAAAAAAAAAUUUUUAGAAAGGUAAAAAAAAUUAGUUUUAAAAAACAUGCCACAUAGCUAGAGAAAUCUACGUGGCAGGCAAGUGCGCACACACUUUUUGUCAAUCACCGUUUAGGGGGUAAUGGCCCUUAGAAGGCCAAGUUCAGGGGGGUAAUUAAGAUCGGGUAUAGUUCGGGGAGGAUACUAGUAAUAUGAGCUAAAUUUAGGAGUGAUUUAAGGUAUUUUGCCAUAUAUAAAAGGAUGGAGUCUACUUGCAUAAAUCGCUUCAUAGUUCCCUCCUAUACGUUUGUCUCAGAGAUUUUGGAAGCAUAAAAAAGCGGAAUAGAUGUAGGAUUUGAAUUUUAUAAAUUUUAGAUUUUGGGACAAUGACCUCAAAUGUUAUUAACUGGAUUUUAAUUUUUAUAAAGGGUAAAAUCAAUUUAUAUUGAAUGCUCGAAUGAUAGCAUGACACGUGAAUCUGGAGGUAGACGAAAGAUGAAGUGAGUGGAAACCAAGACUGAGAACAACAGCUUCAGUUGACACCGGAUAGAUCCUGAGGGGAAUACAGUCAACAGAAGCAAACAAAUAUUUGUCACCAACAUUUAAUGAAGAAUAUUCCUCGGUAUUGAAUAUAUAGUUGUUGUAGAGAAUUUUGGCAUUCAUGGCCUGUCAUUACAUAUUCAUCAAUGACUCUCAUUAUUGUCAUUUAAAAGUGGCGCUCUCCAUAUGGCUUAGACAACUACGUAAUUGAAUUGAUCUUUGUAUCUAUUGCUAACUUGUUUGAUUUUUUGUUUAUAGAAAAAUUUGUAAAAAAAAACAAUAGCAGCUAACGAUGUCAACAUCACACAUAACGUUGAGGCGUAAGAAAUCUACCUCAAUACGAGGAUUCAUCAGUGGUACAUGCAACGAGAUGGGUAUAGCAACUCUGGUCCAUGUCGACCGAUAUCCCCAACAUGUACGGGAGACAACUCUUAAUGAUGCUGAGGACGAGCAUGUUGCGAAAACAUUAAGGAUCUUGAGGGAGCAGCAAAAAGGCCAUCAUAUGUCAUCUCUUAAGGAAAGACUGGGCCAUGAUAGAAUUGAUGCAGGCAUAGUCGGGUGCUUCCAAUAAUGUGAAUGGAAGAGGUCAUGUUCCUACUGAUGCUCCCACAAAUCAAACAGCGCAUAGAGUUUAUAACAACACCCCAAGUAGUAAGGUGGGCUUUGAUGGAGCCGGGUGGAUCGACAACGGGUAUGCUAACGACAACAAUGAUCCUUUCAAAAUCGAGCUUAUACGGUUCAUGAGGGAAAUAAACGAGCGGAUGGAUCGAAAUGCGAAAGAGUGCCACACUUGAAUGGACCAAAUUUCGGAUGUACCACCAGUGUUGAUGGGCCCGGACUGGAAGAAUUACACCUAAUUGUCAUUCAAACCGAGCGCAACACUAGAAUUGAUCCUGAAACGGUUCAAAAUAUCUGACAUACUGAAGUAUGAUGGGACUUUGGAGCAUAAUGAGCACAUCACAACUUAUACAACAAUGGUGAAAGUAAACAACUUGGCCCAACAUGAUAUUGAGUCGGUCCUACUAAAUAAAUUCGGGGAAACCCUCACAAGGGGAGACCUUGACAUGGUAUUCACUCUUACCCAAACACUCAAUUGAUUCGUCUGAAUUUCUUGCAGAUUCUUUUAUCAAGGCCCAUACCGGUCAUGAAGGUCCAAACCCAGAAGGAAGACAUAUUUAAAAUUUUGCAACGAGAGUCUGAAUUGCUGCGCGAGUUCGUGAUGAGGUUCUAGAAAGAAAGGAUGUUGUUAUCAAUCGUGCCAGAUGAAUGGACAGCUGAGACAUAUACUGAAGGGUUGAACCCAAGGAGCUUCGAUGCCUCCUAGAAACUGAAAGAAAGCCUGCUUGAGCUUCAAGCAACUACGUGGGUAGAUGUUCAUAACCGUUAUGAAUCAAAUAUAAGGAUAGAAGAUUAUGAGCUCGGGUUCCCGGCAUCAACUAAGGGUAGAGAUCAAGAAAAGAAUAGAAAUAAAUAGAAAGGGGAAUUUGAUGCGGAUUGUCGAAAUACCAAGGACCGAACGGCACCAGAGGGUUCUGGUCAGCGCAUAGGUUCUCCCCCGGUAGAAAAACUUACUGCAUCUGGAACAAUAGGUCAGGUUCUCCGAAUUCCCCUCAGGCUGUUAGAGUAUAAUUUGAAUAUUAGCGUAUUGGAGCUGGUAUCAAUAAUGAGGAACAUCAAGGAAUCCUGGUUCUCAAGGCCAAUGAGACUCGAUUACAGCCAUAGGGAUCCUAAUUUAUGAUGUGAAUAUCAUGGGAAUAAUGGCCGCCGGAGGAUUGGGGACCGCAGACAGUUGCGCAAGUAGGUAGUAACACUAUUAAAAGAUGGUCAUCUCAAGAAAUUCUUAAGUGACAGGGCUAAGAAUAAUUAUGGCCGCACCCGGGACAACGCAGAGCUCUCGAAGGCAGGGGAAGACCCUCCUCGACUAACUAUUAACAUGAUUUUAGGGGGGGGGGUGAACAAAAUCAAUGGUGUAACCUUCUCGAUAGCAAAGAAGACAAAGGUGACGGUGAUUCAUACCAAGAGACUCCAGGUCAUCGCCGAGGACGACAUCAUCUUCACCCUUAACGUUUUCGAUUUCAAGAUUAAGCGCAUUUUUUUACUUAGGAAGUUCAGCCAAUAUCAUUCAAUGGAGAGUGUUGCAACAAGCCAAGUUAACCAAAAGCGUCAUUCCGGCAACAAAACUCCUCGUCAGGUUCAAUUUAGCAAGUGUGACAACCCGAGGGGAGUUUUUGCUACCUAGAAUGCCGAAGGGGUCACGGAGACUAUCUUAUUUGAAGUAGUGGAUGGUGACAUGGGCUACAAUAUAAUUUUUGGCAGACCAUGGCUACAUUAGAUGAAGACCGUACCAUCGACAUCUCACUAACUUCUAAAAUUCCCAAAUCCAUAAGUAAUCAAACAAAUAAGAGUAUAUCAACUGGCAGCAAGGGAGAUGAAUGCGAUAUCGGUUUCUAGUAGUAAAGGGAAGGUCCACGAAGCAUAGCAAAUAGAAGAACCGACACCAGCUCCCUCUUGUGGUCUUCGAGGAAUUUUGUCAUUUUGCUGCCGAUGAAUUUUUUUCCUUUAUCGCAUACGAUCUCAGCAGACAUCCCGAAUCAACAUAUUAUGUGGUCCCAAAUGAAGUGUAUGACUUCUUUUUCUCUGAAUUUUUCAAAGGCAUGUGCUUCAACCCACUUAGAAAAAUAGUCAGUCAUAAACGAAAUAAAUUAAGCUUUACCUGGGGCCGAUGGGAGGGGGCCGAUGAUGUCCAUUCCCCAUUUCAUGAACUACCAUGGAGAUAAGACUGAAUGGAGUUGCUCUCCGAGUUGGUGAAUCAUUGUCGCAUACCUUUGGCUUUUGUUGCAUUUUCGAACAAACUCUUUUGAAUCUUUUCAUAUCGGCCCAAUAGUAUCCUGCUCUAAUGACUUUGUGAACCAAUUACUUGGCAACAAAAUGAUAUUUGUAAGUGCCCUCAUGAAUUUCUCGUAGAACGUAGUGGUGUCUCCUGGUCCCAAACAUAUCUUCAAUGGUCCAUUGAACAUUCUCCUACACAGUUUCCAUCCUUGGCCAAUGUGAACCAUGCGUCCUUUGUGCGUAGAUUCCUUGAUUCCUUAGGAUCUGAUGGAAGCUUCCCGUUCUUUAGGUAUUCGAUAUACAUAUUCCUCCAAUCCCAGGUUAGACUUUUGGAAUUUAUAUUGGCGUGUACAUCUUUGAUUACUGACCUCGAAAGUUGUACGAUAGUCCCCGAACUAAGUUCGUCGUCUUCAUUUGAUGACCCCAAAUUUGCAAGGGCAUCAGCCUCACUAUUUUGUUCUCGAGAUACGUGCUAUAUGGUCCAUUCUACCUGCAGUUUGUCCAAGUACCUCUGGAUUCGAUCUUCUCGAACUUCAAAAGUUAUGUUUACUUGAUUUACCACAAGUUUGGAGUCAUACUUGGCCUCAAUGACCUCUGCUCCCAAGCUCUUAGCUAGCUCGAAACCUGCAAUCAUGGCCUCAUACUCGACCUCAUUGUUUGUUAAUUUUGAAGUUUUGAUAGACUAUCUAAUUGUAUUACAUAUGGGCGACUUCAAAAUGAUGCCUAGCCCGGACCCUUUCACGUUCGAAACAUCGCCUGUGAAGAGGGUCCACACUCCCAUGAUGUACGCGAUUUUAACAAUAGUUCCUUUUUAACCUCGGGUACAAGGUCUGACGUGAAGUCGGCCACGAAAUCUGCCAUGAUUUGAGACUUGAUGGACAUUCGGGGUUGAUACUUGAUAUCGUACCCGCUGAUCUCAACAACCCAUUUGGCUAAUCGACCCGAGAGUUCGGGAUUGUGCAAAAUAUUGCAAACGGGAUAGGUGGUUACAACACAAAUUGAGUGACAUUGAAAGUAUGGUUUUAAUAUCCUAGAGGCACUUAUCAGAGAGAGCGUUAAUUUUUCUAAGUGUGGGUAUCGGGUUUCGGCCUCUCCUAGAGUUUGACUAACAUAAUAAACAUGGAAUUGCGUACCUUUCUCUUCUCGGACUAAGACCCCACUUUCCGGUAUCUCCAAGAUCACUGUGCUCAUAUGCUUUCAAAGUGUGAAGCAAUGGUGGGCUUGAUAGGUAUUGCUUCAGUUCCUCCCAGGCUUGUUGACAUUCCAGGGUCCAUGCAAAAUUGCUUUUCUUCUUGAUCAGUCAGAAGAAAUAGUGGCUCCUAUCUGAGGACCUCGAAAUAAAUCGACCUAGGGAGGCUAUGCGCCUUGUUAACCUUUGUAUACCCUUGACAUUAUUAACCAUUGUGUUGUCUUCGAUUGCCUUGAUUUUAUUGGUGUUGAUCUCGAUCCCCGGAUUUGAUAUUAUAAAGCCAUGGAAACUCGCCCAAUCCGACUUCGAAUGCGUAUUUCUCUGGGUUGAGCUUCAUGUUGUACUUUCUUAGUAUGUCAAAGGUCUCAUGCAAAUAUUUUAAAUGGUCCAUUUCUACCAGGGACUUAACUAACAUAUCCUCAAUAUAAACCUCCAGUGAUUUACCUAUUUGUUCUUCAAACAUCCGAUUUACUAUGCGUUGAUAAGUAGCACCAAUACGUCUUAGUCCAAACGGUAUCACAUCAUAACAAUAUAUGCCGUAUUUAGUGAUGAAUGAAGUCUUUUCCUAUUCCUACGGGUUCAUUUGUAUUUGAUUAUACCCGGAGUAGGUAUCGAGAAAACUAAGGAUCUCAUGGCCAUUCGUGGCAUUGAUCAUAGGAUCGAUAUUCGCUAAAGGAAAGGAAUCUUUAGGGCAUGCCUUGUUUAAAUCUUUAUAGUCUACGCACAUUCUAAAUAUAUUUUCUUUUUUAGGAACUACAACUACGUUUGCUAACCAUUCUGGAUAUUUACCUCUCGAAUGGAUCCUAUAUUGAGAAGUUUUGUCACUUCCUCCUUAAUGAAUGUAUAUUUUACCUCAGACUGGGGCUUUCUCUUUUUUUUUACCAGGCGAAACUUCAGGUCCAAGAUCAGUCGAUGCGUAGUUAUCUCUGGUAGAAUCCAUGUCAUAUUUAGGUGGUACCAAAUAAAACAAUCCAUGUUAUCUAAAAGGAAUUGAAUGAGUUUUUUCCUGAGCUCGGGGGUUAACCUCGUUCCCAAGUAUACCUUUCGAUUGGGCAGAUGCUCGAUCAGUAUGAUUUGUUCCAACUCUUCAACCAUUAACUUCGUUGCAUCAGAAUCAUCAGGCAUUAUGAUGGUUCGAGGUAUCAUAUAAUCAUCAUCAUCGAAUGUUUCCUGCUCCUCCGAUAGGGUCGAGGCCUGUGACUGUAGUUUCUAUUUGACUUCUUGAUUUCCCUUUGACUCAGAUAACUUUGUGGAUGAAAGUACCAAUACCAGUACUACUUUAUCUAUUGCAACAUUUCUUUGGUGGACAGGUUAUUCACCGUACACCGUUUUGAUUCCGAUGUUGGGAACUUCAGGACUUGAUGAAGUGUCAAGGGCAUUGCCCUCGUAUUUUGAGUCCAAUGCCUUUCGACCAGCGUGUUGUACCUCAUGUCACCUUUAAUCACAUAGAACUUUGUUUUUUGGAUUGUACCGACCAUAUUUACUAGCAAAAUGAUUUCCUCUUUGGUGGUUUCACUUGCCAUGUUGAAGUUGUUAAGUACUUGAGUUGACCUACCAUUGAGAGACUGCAGAUCAUGGGCAUUCAAAUUCCAUCUCUGUGUGCAUUUUGCAAAAGACAUGAGGAAGAGUUUAAACAUUUGUUCUUUGAAUGUGUCAUUACCAGUAGUGUUUGGAGGAGAAUUUGUCUAUGGUUGGGACAUGCUAGAANNNNNNNNNNNNNNNNNNNNNNNNNNNNNNNNNNNNNNNNNNNNNNNNNNNNNNNNNNNNNNNNNNNNNNNNNNNNNNNNNNNNNNNNNNNNNNNNNNNNNNNNNNNNNNNNNNNNNNNNNNNNNNNNNNNNNNNNNNNNNNNNNNNNNNNNNNNNNNNNNNNNNNNNNNNNNNNNNNNNNNNNNNNNNNNNNNNNNNNNNNNNNNNNNNNNNNNNNNNNNNNNNNNNNNNNNNNNNNNNNNNNNNNNNNNNNNNNNNNNNNNNNNNNNNNNNNNNNNNNNNNNNNNNNNNNNNNNNNNNNNNNNNNNNNNNNNNNNNNNNNNNNNNNNNNNNNNNNNNNNNNNNNNNNNNNNNNNNNNNNNNNNNNNNNNNNNNNNNNNNNNNNNNNNNNNNNNNNNNNNNNNNNNNNNNNNNNNNNNNNNNNNNNNNNNNNNNNNNNNNNNNNNNNNNNNNNNNNNNNNNNNNNNNNNNNNNNNNNNNNNNNNNNNNNNNNNNNNNNNNNNNNNNNNNNNNNNNNNNNNNNNNNNNNNNNNNNNNNNNNNNNNNNNNNNNNNNNNNNNNNNNNNNNNNNNNNNNNNNNNNNNNNNNNNNNNNNNNNNNNNNNNNNNNNNNNNNNNNNNNNNNNNNNNNNNNNNNNNNNNNNNNNNNNNNNNNNNNNNNNNNNNNNNNNNNNNNNNNNNNNNNNNNNNNUAGGAUAACUUGCAAAAUCUCAAUACAUUUCCUUAGUUGGUUGAGAAUUAGCUACUAGAAUUGCUAUGUAUAUGAUAUGAAUAGUUAGGAACCAAUUUUAACUAGAAGGAUAGAAAUGAGUAGUAGAAGUCCAUACUACUACAUUAGGAUUCAUUGUAUAUUUUUUUGAUAUCAAUACAAAUUGUCAGUUAAGCUAAAAAAAAAGUACUUGAGUUGCAGGCACGAUUUUAUAUUGGAGGCCAAGUCAUUCUACGACCCUUGAUUGAAUAAUGUUUGCCGAGCUACCUGGAUCAAUCAACACAUAUUUAAUUUGAAUUUUAUUCAUAAGGAUAUAUAUUACCAAUGCAUCGUUAUGAGGUUGUUCGAUCCCUUCUACAUCCUAUCAUUGAAAGAAAAUGUUUCUUCUAGUAAGUAGUCUUGUGUUCGCUUUCCCUUGUGAUUAUCACCUUAGAGUGUUUAAAUACAAGUCCUUGAGGAAUAUCGACUCCUCCAACGAUCAUGUGAAUAAUAUGUUGUGGCUCUUCCUACUCAUUAUGUCUGUUUGAAUCUCCGUUUUUGAAGUGGUUCUUGGCUCGAUCACUUAAGAAUUCUCGAAGGUGACCCUCGUUGAAUAGAUGAGCUAUCUCCUCCCUUAAUUGUCUAUAGUCUUUGGUUCUAUGACCAUGGGUACCAUGGUAUUUGCAUACUUGAUUUGGGUUCCUUUGAGCUGGAUCAGUCUGUAAGGGUCUGGGUCAUCUAGUAUCCUUGAUCUAUCAAAUGGCUGAUACAAAACCAUAUGCAUCGAUGUUGAAGUUGUAUUCUGAUAGUCGUAGUGCUCAUGUGGACUCGACAUGUUUAUCGAAGCCACUUUUACUCAUGAUCCCUCGGGAGUUAUGUCCUCGAUAAUUCCUUCGAUUAUUUCGAAUGGGAUUAUAUCUUAGGUUGUUGUUUCUAUGAUCUGCAUUGUACGGUUGGUACUGAUCCAUGUUCGAUCGGGUUUCUCUGUCGAUGUCCCUUUGAAUUCUACUGAUGGGCCUAUUUGGGUAGAGGAAAUCGGAAGGGGUUCCCUAUUGAUUUUCCUCGAUCCUGAUUUUUGACUGGCACCGACUAUGUACAUUGGCCUAGUCCAGGUCAUAGCUGGAUAUUCAAUUAAAUUUUUCUUUAGUUGUUGUGAUGUUAUCGAACUUCGUUCGUUCAAACCUUGAGUAAAAGCUUGAACAACCUAAUCAUCUAUGAUCGGGGGUAGGUCCAUGUGUUCCAUCUGGAAACGGGAUAAGAAUUCCCUCAACAUUUCGUUGUCCUUUUGUUUCACUUUGAAUACGCCCGACUUCCUAGUCACAACAUUUAUUCCUCCGGCGUGUGCCUUCACGAAGGAAUCUACAAUCAUGGUGACGGAAUUGGGAGGCAAAUUGUGGUACCAUAUCAUUGCCCCUUUCAAUAAAGUUUCUCCAUACCUUUUCAAUAGAACAUAUUCAAUCUCAACCAGUUCUAUUCAUUCCUCUUUAUUGCGCAUGUAUAAGAAGUGACGUGCUCAUUAGGGUCGGUUGUUCCAAUGUAUUUGGGAAAUUCUGGCAUGCCGAAUUUUUUAGGGAUGGGCUUUGGAGCUACACUUGGAGGGAAAUUCCUCUGCAUGAACUUCCUCGAAUCCAAACCCUUUAGAAUCGGUGGUGCCCUGGUAUUUGGUCAACCCGAGAGUUGUAUGUUUCUACCUUUUCUUCAUUAGCCAAAAAAAUUUUUUCACUUGAUUCAAUUCGUUUAGUGAGCUCCUCGAGCAUUUUCAUAACCGUUGGGUUAGUCCUGAUUCAUUGGCAUUUGAUAUAUUCGAUACAGGUUUGACUCUAUGAACAACUUCUUGUGAUGUUUCGCUCAAUUAUGUUGGGUGCUCGAUUCAGAUUUUGGAGUUGUGCUAUAUCAGCUUGUUGAGCCUCCAACAUCUCAAAUAUCAUUUGAAGGCUAAUCCCACCUUGUUCACCGCUCUGUGCGUUCUAAUCGACUGCUCAAGCAUCCCAUUAAUGGCAAUAGGGAAAAGGGUCAGAACUGCCCCUAACAUAUUGACUCCAGGUUAAAAAUGCCUCUAUUAACCUAUUUUGAAGAAAAUUCCCCUACGUUAAAAAUGUGGCAUAUUUGUGCCCCUAAGUCUAACAACUGACUGUACUUAUAUUUAAAACGGUAGGGGCAUUUUUUUCAAAAUAGGUUAACAAUAGGGGCAUUUUAAAACUGACUUGUUAGAUUUAGGGGCACAAAUAUGCUACAUUUUUAACGCUACGGGCAUUUUCUUCAAAAUAGGUUAACGGAGGGCAUUUCUAAACUGGCGUCAAUACGUUAGGGGCAGUUAUGACCCUUUUCCGAUGGCAAUAUAGGAGCUGGCAUCGAUUGGGUAUACGGUCGGCAGUCCGCUAGGGUUGAUUGGAGGUAAUUUGUUUCUCGGGGCGACUAUGUUUUCGUUCUCGCCAUGAAGACCAAGGUCGUUGCCUGUGUGAGUGGGUGCUACUUGAGAGGUUGACAUUUUAAUUCCUGAAAUAGAAGAUACUUACGAGAAUAAGCAUAAAGCGAUGUCUGCUAUGAGAAAUAAUACUGAGCAAUCACUAUUAUUCUUAUCCCCAUGAUGGGCGCCAAAGUGUUUACCACUAAAAUUGGAUAACAACUAAACUUAUAACGUGAUUUUAAGGACACGCAAUUUCACUUAAUACCAAUUGAUAAAUGUGAAGAUUAGUGAUAGAAAACAAUAAUAAAGUAAAGCAAACCAGUGUUGAUACGGAAUUCAACCCUCGAGUUAGAAUUCCCUCGAGAUGAUUGAUACCAGAAAAAGUAAAGAUAGAGCAAGUUGAUGAACAAGAGAAUGUAAGCUAAAAAGAGUAUUAUAUUGAUUUGAUACGUGAGAAUCCAACUGCCUUACAAAUGAUUGGAACCCCUUUUUAUAUAGUAGCGGAAUUCUAAUUAUGGUAUAACUCUAAUUACAGAAGAAAAUCUCAUUAUUAGCUCAUUAACCAUCUUAGAUCUAUCCAUUCCGAGAUUUCUGCCAUAAUUUUCGACCAGUCACUGAUAUCUCAUCUUUAUGUAAUUAUGCUAUCUUUGAUCUUGCUCGAUGUCUAUCUCAUUUGGUCUUAAUCACUACCAGCAUCAAUCUGGACAAGUACCUUGAAUCUGAAGUUGGUGCCUUGUCCUCGUGCCUCGGUCUAAUUUAUUACGGGAUCGAUCUUCGAUCCUUCAUAUUAGUCUCGGUAAAUCAGUAAAAUCGAGUGGGUCCAAUUUUAACCGUAUAUACAAAUAUAUAGUUAUUCAUGUAAGAAUAUAUUUGAGAAAUUAUUUAACCAUGAAUUUUAUCAAACGCCAAAAAAAAUGCAUUGAAAAUUAUUUUAGAACGAAAUUGGACACGUAUUGCUCAUUUUAUGACAGGAAUGGAUGCAUUUUAUUUAAAACUCCUUUUGUUUUUUCUUUGUUGGUUUUUGUUAGAGAAGCUACUACUACAUUCAAAUGUUUAGCCCCUUAGAAAAUAUGAUAUUCUCUAGAAUCUAGCUUCUACUAAAAAUUCAAUUUUGACUAAUAAUCGAGAGCAAAAUCUUGCUCACAUAGCCAUACAUGAAACAUCAUCAGCUAAGAUUUCAUUCUGAAAUGUUAGCACGAAUACAUACAUAGAAACUGAGAACCAAAUUAAAAAAAAAAAACACUAAAAUUAUAAUUUAUUCAGGUAACACUCAAUGAAUAAUUGUACUAUCAUAAUUGCUACAAUAUUUCUGAGUAACCCGAAUUAACAUAGACCCAAAUUUUUUUACUUAUACAGUCCAAAAAUUAUACACCAAAUAAAGAAAAAAGGAAAAAGAAGGUGACAACUUUACAUUAACGAGUUACUUACUUUAGUAGAGAAACCCUGCCUUAUUGUAGACCCCAAACUUUGCUUCUUCCUUUAAAUAUCAAACAAUAUGGUAUAGACAAAUUAAAUAUUGGAAAGUUUGCUUGUAGAAUACUUUGACAUUGUCUAGUCACAAAAGAAUGAAUAGUGUUAUAACAUUGUAACAACAAAUUCCGAGUCUGUAAUAUUCAAGAUAAGAAAAUGGCUACAAAUUAGAAAACGUAAUAUGAAGAGUCGACUUGGGUUGCAAUCUCCAAAAUGUCACCAAAUCUGCAAAUGACGUCCUCAGAUUCUUCUCCUCACAAACGUCACUUCAUGGGCUCUUUGCUUGUUCUUGAAAGGACAAUUUGAUGGCCGUCACGAGCAAUAAUUUAAGAUUUAGCUAUGACGAAUGGAAGAUUUGGACUCGCCUCUUGGAUUAUUGACUUGUACUCCAUUGUUAAAUUCGCUUACGAAUGAAGAUCGCCAAUGUAGAAGAAGACUAGAUGCUUCCUUGGAGCUUCUCCAGCUUUUGUCUAACUUGAUGUCUUUCGCUCUGUGUUCCCUUUUGGCCUAAUGUGAGCUAUCUAUUUAUAAUUGUAGAAUAGGGAAGUUGUGAUACCAAAAGCUUUUGCUAUGAUAUGAUUGGCCUAUUUGAAUUAUGAACCUAUCUCAUUUAGCUACACUUAGCUUGCUUUUAUUGGCCAGUUAACUUGAUAUUUCGCUUGAUACGUGGUAAAGUAUUAUUGGACACUUCUUUUGGCUUGGCGCAAUGUAAUUUGAC
RNAcentral lists this long non-coding RNA (24784 nucleotides) under Nicotiana benthamiana. RNAcentral describes it as "long non-coding RNA (NBEN_LNC007486)". The record is from RNAcentral. Lineage: Eukaryota; Viridiplantae; Streptophyta; Magnoliopsida; Solanales; Solanaceae.